RNAcentral lists this ribosomal RNA (504 nucleotides) under Triticum aestivum (bread wheat). RNAcentral's name for it is "partial small subunit ribosomal RNA". Lineage: Eukaryota; Viridiplantae; Streptophyta; Magnoliopsida; Poales; Poaceae. The record is from RNAcentral.
AUGAAUACCCUUUUCUAGAACUGCCGGGGGGGGGGGCGCCGGACAGUUCGUGAGGUCUUGGCCCUCUCAAAAGCCAAUAACCCCAAACUAGUCUUCCUUUGUGAGACUAGGCAAGAAGCUGCAAAAGUUGAGAAGCUGCAAUGGAGACUCGGCCUAAAAGGGUUUCAUGGUGUGAGUAGCGAUGGAAGAAGUGGUGGCCUAGCCCUUUUUUGGGAUGAGUCACUGAUGAUAACGGUGCUAGACUCAUGUAACCGGUUUAUUGAUGUCAGCGUGGUGGAUGGUGGAUCUGGUACAUCUUGGCGCAGCACCUUCGUCUAUGGGGGGCCACAUGUGGAGAACAGAUAUCGCAUGUGGGAGCACCUAUGUGGGCUUAGAGCCAGAUCGCGUGAGCCAUGGAUGGUUUGUGGUGAUUUUAAUGAGGCACUUUGGCAACAUGAGCACCUUUCGAGAUCUAUGCGUUCUGAAGCUCAAAUGACGGCGUUUAGGGAUUUCUUGGAAGUGUGA